GAUGAACGCUGGCGGCGUGCCUAAUACAUGCAAGUCGAGCGAACGGACGAGAAGCUUGCUUCUCUGAUGUUAGCGGCGGACGGGUGAGUAACACGUGGAUAAUCUACCUAUAAGACUGGGAUAACUUCGGGAAAUCGGAGCUAAUACCGGAUAAUAUUCUGAACCGCAUGGUUCAAAAGUGAAAGACGGUCUUGCUGUCACUUAUAGAUGGAUCCGCGCUGCAUUAGCUAGUUGGUAAGGUAACGGCUUACCAAGGCAACGAUGCAUAGCCGACCUGAGAGGGUGAUCGGCCACACUGGAACUGAGACACGGUCCAGGCUCCUACGGGAGGCAGCAGUAGGGAAUCUUCCGCAAUGGGCGAAAGCCUGACGGAGCAGCGCCGCGUGAGUGAUGAAGGUCUUCGGAUCGUAAAACUCUGUUAUUAGGGAAGAACAUAUGUGUAAGUAACUGUGCACAUCUUGACGGUACCUAGUCAGAAAGCCACGGCUAACUACGUG
This 497-nucleotide ribosomal RNA is filed under the name uncultured bacterium. Its description in RNAcentral is "partial 16S ribosomal RNA". It matches the Rfam family "Bacterial small subunit ribosomal RNA", at positions 28 to 507 of the family's 1533-position model. The record is from RNAcentral.